UGUUAGUGGCUUAGCAGAAAAUUUAUUAGGGAUAAGCUUAAUAUUUUAUUAGUUAUAUAGUUUUGUUGAUAAGAUUAUGAUAGGAUUAAUAGUGUCUUUAUGUUUUAUAACUUANCUAUAAUUUUUAUAUAUUAAUUAAGUAUAUGAGGGUAUCUUAAAAUUUUUUUUGUUAGUAAUAAUGGUAGAAUUAGUAGAUGAGAAUUAGGUUAAGAUAUAGAUGAACUAUUUGUUGUAAUAUCUCUUUUUAAAAAAUUUGGUAAGGAACUCGGCAAAAAUCAUUCUUAACUGUUUAUCAAAAACAUUUCUUUAAGUAAGGAUUUAAAGUAUACUCUGCCCACUGAUAUAUUUUUAUUAAAUGGCCGCAGUAGCCUGACUGUGCUAAGGUAGCAUAAUCAUUAGGUUCUUGAUUGGGAUCUGGAAUGAAGGAGUGAAUAAGGAGGAGCUGUCUAUCAAUAUGUUUUGAAUUUAAAUUUUUAGUAAGAAUGCUAGAAUGAAUUAGUGGGACGAUAAGACCCUAUAAAGCUUUACUAACUUUUAGUGGAAAUUUUUACUACUUUUAUGACUAGGUUUAGUUUUGCUGGGGCGGUAGCUAUUUAACAUAGUUAAAUUUUAUUUUNUUAGGAUCCAUCAUUGAUGAAUUAAGAUUAAGUUACUUUAGGGAUAACAGCAUAAUAUAUCUAUGGAGUUCUAAUCGAAGGAUAUGGUUGUGACCUCGAUGUUGAAUUAACCUUAUUGUAAGGUGUAGAAGCUUUAUGAGUUAGUCUGUUCGACUAUUGAAGGGUUACGUGAUUUGAGUUCAAACCGGUUUAAGCCAGGUUGGUUUCUAUCUACUGAGUUUAAAAAGUCUUUUAGUACGAAAGGACCAAAGAUUUUAGAUUUUCUAUUUAAUAUAUUUUUGACUAACUUUAGGUGUUG
Molecule: ribosomal RNA, 915 nt
Filed under: Eumesosoma roeweri
Lineage: Eukaryota; Metazoa; Arthropoda; Arachnida; Opiliones; Sclerosomatidae
Description: 16S ribosomal RNA
Rfam family: Bacterial large subunit ribosomal RNA (bases 498-832)
Source: RNAcentral